UACACGAGCGGCGAACGGGUGAGUAACACGUGAGCAACCUGCCCCCGACACCGGGAUAAGCCGUGGAAACGCGGUCUAAUACCGGAUACGACACGCCCCCGCAUGGGGUGCGUGUGGAAAGGUUUUUUCUGGUCGGGGAUGGGCUCGCGGCCUAUCAGCUCGUUGGUGGGGUAACGGCCUACCAAGGCGAUUACGGGUAGCCGGCCUGAGAGGGCGACCGGCCACACUGGGACUGAGACACGGCCCAGACUCCUGCGGGAGGCAGCAGUGGGGAAUCUUGCGCAAUGGGCGAAAGCCUGACGCAGCGACGCCGCGUGGGGGAUGACGGCCUUCGGGUUGUAAACCUCUUUUACCACUCACGCAGGCCCCGGGUUCUCCCGGGGUUGACGGUAGGUGGGGAAUAAGGACCGGCUAACUACGUGCCAGCAGCCGCGGUAAUACGUAGGGUCCGAGCGUUGUCCGGAAUUAUUGGGCGUAAAGAGCUCGUAGGCGGCGUGUCGCGUCUGCUGUGAAAGACCGGGGCUUAACCCCGGUUCUGCAGUGGAUACGGGCAUGCUAGAGGUAGGUAGGGGAGACUGGAAUUCCUGGUGUAGCGGUGAAAUGCGCAGAUAUCAGGAGGAACACCGGUGGCGAAGGCGGGUCUCUGGGCCUUACCUGACGCUGAGGAGCGAAAGCGUGGGGAGCGAACAGGAUUAGAUACCCCUGGUAGUCCACGCCGUAAACGU
RNAcentral lists this ribosomal RNA (725 nucleotides) under Nocardiopsis sp. 41118. RNAcentral describes it as "bacterial SSU rRNA". It matches the Rfam family "Bacterial small subunit ribosomal RNA", at positions 88 to 809 of the family's 1533-position model. The record is from RNAcentral. Lineage: Bacteria; Bacillati; Actinomycetota; Actinomycetes; Streptosporangiales; Nocardiopsidaceae.